UGGGGAAUAUUGGACAAUGGGGGCAACCCUGAUCCAGCCAUGCCGCGUGAGUGAUGAAGGCCUUAGGGUUGUAAAGCUCUUUCGACGGGGACGAUGAUGACGGUACCCGUAGAAGAAGCCCCGGCUAACUUCGUGCCAGCAGCCGCGGUAAUACGAAGGGGGCUAGCGUUGUUCGGAAUUACUGGGCGUAAAGCGCACGCAGGCGGUGACCAUAGUCAGAAGUGAAAGCCCUGGGCUCAACCCGGGAAUUGCUCUUGAUACUGGGUCGCUAGAAUCACGGAGAGGGUAGUGGAAUUCCGAGUGUAGAGGUGAAAUUCGUAGAUAUUCGGAAGAACACCAGUGGCGAAGGCGACUACCUGGCCGUCGAUUGACGCUCAUGUGCGAAAGCGUGGGGAGCAAACAGG
RNAcentral lists this ribosomal RNA (404 nucleotides) under uncultured bacterium. Its description in RNAcentral is "bacterial SSU rRNA". It matches the Rfam family "Bacterial small subunit ribosomal RNA", at positions 355 to 776 of the family's 1533-position model. The record is from RNAcentral.